Molecule: ribosomal RNA, 497 nt
Filed under: uncultured bacterium
Lineage: Bacteria
Description: partial 16S ribosomal RNA
Rfam family: Bacterial small subunit ribosomal RNA
Source: RNAcentral
GAUGAACGCUGGCGGCGUGCCUAAUACAUGCCAGUCGAGCGAACAGACGAGGAGCUUGCUCCUCUGACGUUAGCGGCGGACGGGUGAGUAGCACGUGGAUAACCUACCUAUAAGACUGGGAUAACUUCGGGAAACCGGAGCUAAUACCGGAUAAUAUAUUGAACCGCAUGGUUCAAUAGUGAAAGACGGUUUUGCUGUCACUUAUAGAUGGAUCCGCGCCGCAUUAGCUAGUUGGUAAGGUAACGGCUUACCAAGGCGACGAUGCGUAGCCGACCUGAGAGGGUGAUCGGCCACACUGGAACUGAGACACGGUCCAGACUCCUACGGGAGGCAGCAGUAGGGAAUCUUCCGCAAUGGGCGAAAGCCUGACGGAGCAACGCCGCGUGAGUGAUGAAGGUCUUCGGAUCGUAAAACUCUGUUAUUAGGGAAGAACAAAUGUGUAAGUAACUAUGCACGUCUUGACGGUACCUAAUCAGAAAGCCACGGCUAACUACGUG